AUAUCACGUUGAAAAACACCAGUCCUUGUAUGAUCACUGAAGUAAAGCCGAGCCUGGUCAUUACUGAGAUGGGUGACCACUUGGGAAUACCAGGUGCUGUUA
This is a non-coding RNA of Acanthosepion pharaonis, 102 nucleotides long. NCBI's taxonomy places the organism in Eukaryota, Metazoa, Mollusca, Cephalopoda, Sepiida, Sepiidae. The record is from the annotation of a GenBank genome assembly.